This 466-nucleotide ribosomal RNA is filed under the name uncultured bacterium. Its description in RNAcentral is "partial 16S ribosomal RNA". It matches the Rfam family "Bacterial small subunit ribosomal RNA", at positions 28 to 507 of the family's 1533-position model. The record is from RNAcentral.
GACGAACGCUGGCGGCGCGCCUAACACAUGCAAGUCGAACGAGCGAGAGAGAGCUUGCUUUCUUGAGCGAGUGGCGAACGGGUGAGUAACGCGUGAGGAACCUGCCUCAAAGAGGGGGACAACAGUUGGAAACGACUGCUAAUACCGCAUAAGCCCACGACCCGGCAUCGGGUUGAGGGAAAAGGAGCAAUCCGCUUUGAGAUGGCCUCGCGUCCGAUUAGCUAGUUGGUGAGGUAACGGCCCACCAAGGCGACGAUCGGUAGCCGGACUGAGAGGUUGAACGGCCACAUUGGGACUGAGACACGGCCCAGACUCCUACGGGAGGCAGCAGUGGGGAAUAUUGCACAAUGGGGGAAACCCUGAUGCAGCGACGCCGCGUGGAGGAAGAAGGUCUGCGGAUUGUAAACUCCUGUUGUUGAGGAAGAUAAUGACGGUACUCAACAAGGAAGUGACGGCUAACUACGUG